Long non-coding RNA from Oncorhynchus tshawytscha (Chinook salmon), 881 nucleotides. Lineage: Eukaryota; Metazoa; Chordata; Actinopteri; Salmoniformes; Salmonidae. The record is from Ensembl.
GAGUAUCUGUAUAGAUACUGUAUAGAGUAUCUGUACAGAGUAUCUGUAUAGAUACUAUAUAGAGUAUCUGUAUAGAGACUGUAUAGAGUAUCUGUAUAGAGACUGUAUAGAGUAUCUGUAUAGAUACUGUAUAGAGUAUCUGUACAGAGUAUCCGUAUAGAGUAUCUGUAUAGAUACUGUAUAGAGUAUCUGUAUAGAUCUACCAGCAGUUGUUUUUGAAGGCUGAGGGAGAACACUGUUAUACAAUUUGGUUAAAGUAUUUCCAAACAGGGAAAUGCAUAAUCAUGUGUGGAGUAGUGUCUUCGAUGUAGCCUAACUAUACUGGAGUAGUGUCCUCGAUGUAGCCUAACUAUGCUGGAGUAGUGUCUUCGAUGUAGCCUAACUAUACUGGAGUAGUGUCCUCGAUGUAGCCUAACUAUGCUGUAGUAGUGUCCUCGAUGUAGCCUAACUAUACUGGAGUAGUGUCCUCGAUGUAGCCUAACUAUGCUGUAGUAGAAAUACAGUAACUGUCAUACAGGUGUGUGGAAAUACAGUAACUGUCAUACAGGUGUGUGGAAAUACAGUAACUGUCAUACAGGUGUGUGAAAAUACAGUAACUGUCAUAUAGGUGUGUGGAAAUACAGUAACUGUCAUAUAGGUGUGUGGAAAUACAGUAACUGUCAUACAGGUGUGUGGAAAUACAGUAACUGUCAUAUAGGUGUGUGGAAAUACAGUAACUGUCAUACAGGUGUGUGGAAAUACAGUAACUGUCAUACAGGUGUUUGGCCUCCGGGGGGCAGACAGACAUUGUGUAGAAAAGUCAACUCUUUGAAGAAUGUGCUUCUCUAAGCAUUCAAUAUGUAGAAACAUUAUAAAGUGUUUGAUAUUACAAUCUAGCUAGG